RNAcentral lists this ribosomal RNA (257 nucleotides) under uncultured bacterium. Its description in RNAcentral is "partial 16S ribosomal RNA". It matches the Rfam family "Bacterial small subunit ribosomal RNA", at positions 524 to 776 of the family's 1533-position model. The record is from RNAcentral.
UACGUAGGGCGCAAGCGUUGUCCGGAAUUAUUGGGCGUAAAGAGCUCGUAGGCGGUUUGUCGCGUCUGCCGUGAAAAGUCCGGGGCUCAACUCCGGAUCUGCGGUGGGUACGGGCAGACUAGAGUGAUGUAGGGGGAGACUGGAAUUCCUGGUGUAGCGGUGAAAUGCGCAGAUAUCAGGAGGAACACCGGUGGCGAAGGCGGGGUCUCUGGGGCCGAUACUGACGCUGAGGAGCGAAAGCGUGGGGAGCGAACAGG